Molecule: ribosomal RNA, 301 nt
Filed under: uncultured bacterium
Lineage: Bacteria
Description: partial 16S ribosomal RNA
Rfam family: Bacterial small subunit ribosomal RNA
Source: RNAcentral
CAGUCGCCACGGGAAUACGUAGGUGGCAAGCGUUGUCCGGAAUUAUUGGGCGUAAAGGGCUCGCAGGCGGUUUCUUAAGUCUGAUGUGAAAGCCCCCGGCUCAACCGGGGAGGGUCAUUGGAAACUGGGAAACUUGAGUGCAGAAGAGGAGAGUGGAAUUCCACGUGUAGCGGUGAAAUGCGUAGAGAUGUGGAGGAACACCAGUGGCGAAGGCGACUCUCUGGUCUGUAACUGACGCUGAGGAGCGAAAGCGUGGGGAGCGAACGGGAUUAGAUACCCCCGUAGUCCCUGUCUCUUAUAC